CAGCCGCCGCGGGAAUACGAACCGUGCGAACGUUAUUCGGAAUUACUGGGCUUAAAGCGCGUGUAGGCGGGCCGCCACGUCGGUCGCUGAAAUCCCCCAGCUCAACCGGGGAAGUGGCAUCGAUACGAGCGGCCUUGAGGGGGGUAGGGGGAUCCGGAACUUCCGGUGGAGCGGUGAAAUGCGUUGAGAUCGGAAGGAACGCCCGUGGCGAAAGCGAGGUCCUGGACCCUUUCUGACGCUGAGACGCGAAAGCCAGGGGAGCGAACGGGAUUAGAUACCCGGGUAGUCCCUGUCUCUUAUA
This 301-nucleotide ribosomal RNA is filed under the name uncultured bacterium. Its description in RNAcentral is "partial 16S ribosomal RNA". It matches the Rfam family "Bacterial small subunit ribosomal RNA", at positions 509 to 807 of the family's 1533-position model. The record is from RNAcentral.